This 73-nucleotide microRNA precursor is filed under the name Myotis davidii. RNAcentral's name for it is "mir-9193 microRNA precursor family". It matches the Rfam family "mir-9193 microRNA precursor family". Lineage: Eukaryota; Metazoa; Chordata; Mammalia; Chiroptera; Vespertilionidae. The record is from Rfam by way of RNAcentral.
CUCGGGGCGGGGUCUCCCUCAGCCUGGAUUGCAAGAGGGCACAGACCAGGCUAAGGGACCCCACCGGUGCACG